RNAcentral lists this long non-coding RNA (2025 nucleotides) under Citrus sinensis (sweet orange). RNAcentral's name for it is "long non-coding RNA (CSIN_LNC001997)". Lineage: Eukaryota; Viridiplantae; Streptophyta; Magnoliopsida; Sapindales; Rutaceae. The record is from RNAcentral.
CAGACUGGUUCUCUAAUCCACCAGAGUCACGAAAAUCAUUCCUAUAUUUGUUUCUCGCAGCUGAAGUAAGGGAAUAUGAGGACACUGCAGUGUUCUCUUUUAUAUCAUCAUCAUCAAAAGGAUUAGUACUAACUUUUGAUGUAGUUAGGUUGGGUUCAGAAGAAGUCCUUUUUGAGGGUUUAAGAGUCUGCUUAUUAUCCAACUCAUCGUCAGAAUCAAACGGGUUGGACCGAGAAGAAACCCGGUGUCCAGGGUCAACCGAAUUAUGCCUACCAACCCUUAAAGGAGAUUUCUUUAAGCCAAACAUUCUUAAAGCAGAGCUAUUAUUCAAACUGAAGAGAAAUCGAUCUAUCAAUCAAUGUUCCUGAAAAUAAAAAAAGGGAAAAAAAACAAAAACAAAUAAGCAUUUCUGUGAGAUUGUGAUGGGGUUAUUCAAAUAAUUACAAUAAUCAACAAGUUUAGCUGAAUAAGGUUGCAUAACAUUUGAGUUCCAUAAUACAGACUAGUAGGCGUGAUUCAGGAACAAAUUAUCAGAACUAGUUCCAAUAAAAAAAAAAAAACCAGCGACCCAAAAUUCAAAUAAGAAAAACAAGAUCAGCGAGAAAAUAAACCAGAAGAAGAUGUUUCCAUUAGAGUAAAAUUUUAUAAAAAGAAAUGAGAGGAAGACAGUAAGGUUACAAAUCUAAUUAAAGAUUUAGGUUGACCAAAAAAAAAAGGCUAUGGAAAAUAAUCAUACCGAUAUAGGCUUUUUUUUUUUUUUAAGAAAAAAGAGGAUAUAAGAGAUUUAAAAAAAUUAUUCAUAAAUAUGCAACACAUCUACAGGAAUGAACAUAAUAUGACCGUUAGACUAAUAUGUCACUUGAGCGACCGUUCAACAGAAAAAAUAAAACAGGAAACUUUUUCCUCCAAUUUUUCUCAGAACCAAACAGAAGAUCCAAAGGGAGAACAACCAUAAGCCUUAAAAAUGAAUUGAAAGAAAAAAAAAAAAACCACAGAGAUACUGAAUAGCUGUACCUAAAGAUUUCAAAUUCUCUAAUUUCAAGAAAAAAAAAAAUAGGAUUUUGUUUGAUUAACGAGAAAGCAAGUUGAUCUCAAAGAAACCGACCGUACGAUGAUAACAAGGAAGAAACAAACAAACAAACAACACAAGACAAGACAAGAUUUUGAAACAAACCCACAUAGCAGAAUCUAAAAUCAAGCAAAACCCAGAACGCAGAAUCAAGAAAAAUAAGUAACUAAAUUAAUCGGCAAAGAUUUUAGAAGAGUAUCUUUAACCUGAGAAAAUGUUGCAGAAAAUCUUGCAAGAGCGCAAGAAUCUCACAAGGAAUUAGUCAAAAUGAAACUUUGCGAAGAAAGAGCUUUACUUUGUGAAGAAAGAUUUGGUGGUAUGAGGACACUGCAGUGUUCUCUUUUAUAUCAUCAUCAUCAAAAGGAUUAGUACUAACUUUUGAUGUAGUUAGGUUGGGUUCAGAAGAAGUCCUUUUUGAGGGUUUAAGAGUCUGCUUAUUAUCCAACUCAUCGUCAGAAUCAAACGGGUUGGACCGAGAAGAAACCCGGUGUCCAGGGUCAACCGAAUUAUGCCUACCAACCCUUAAAGGAGAUUUCUUUAAGCCAAACAUUCUUAAAGCAGAGCUAUUAUUCAAACUGAAGAGAAAUCGAUCUAUCAAUCAAUGUUCCUGAAAAUAAAAAAAGGGAAAAAAAACAAAAACAAAUAAGCAUUUCUGUGAGAUUGUGAUGGGGUUAUUCAAAUAAUUACAAUAAUCAACAAGUUUAGCUGAAUAAGGUUGCAUAACAUUUGAGUUCCAUAAUACAGACUAGUAGGCGUGAUUCAGGAACAAAUUAUCAGAACUAGUUCCAAUAAAAAAAAAAAAACCAGCGACCCAAAAUUCAAAUAAGAAAAACAAGAUCAGCGAGAAAAUAAACCAGAAGAAGAUGUUUCCAUUAGAGUAAAAUUUUAUAAAAAGAAAUGAGAGGAAGACAGUAAGGUUACAAAUCUAAUUAAAGAUUUAGGUUGACCAAAAAAAA